UUGGAGGGCAAGUCUGGUGCCAGCAGCCGCGGUAAUUCCAGCUCCAAUAGCGUAUAUUAAAGUUGUUGCAGUUAAAAAGCUCGUAGUUGAAUUUCGGGGUCAGUAGGUUGGUCAUGCCACUGGUAUGUACUGGUCUCACUGAUUCCUCCUUCCUGAUGAGCCGUAAUGCCAUUAAUUUGGUGUUGCGAGGAAUCUGGACUGUUACUUUGAAAAAAUUAGAGUGUUUAAAGCAGGCUAACGCUUGAAUACAUUAGCAUGGAAUAAUGAAAUAGGACGUUCGAUCUUAUUUUGUUGGUUUCUAAGAUUGACGUAAUGAUUAAUAGGGAUAGUUGGGGGCAUUAGUAUUCAAUUGUCAGAGGUGAAAUUCUUGGAUUUAUUGAAGACUAACUACUGCGAAAGCAUUUGCCAAGGAUGUUUUCAUUAAUCAAGAACGAAAGUUAGGGGAUCGAAGACGAUCAGAUACCGUCGUAGUCUUAACCAUAAACUAUGCCGACUAGGGAUCGGAUGAUGUUAAUUUUCUAAUGACUCAUUCGGCACCUUACGGGAAAC
This 549-nucleotide ribosomal RNA is filed under the name uncultured Glomus. Its description in RNAcentral is "SSU rRNA". It matches the Rfam family "Eukaryotic small subunit ribosomal RNA", at positions 548 to 1098 of the family's 1831-position model. The record is from RNAcentral. Lineage: Eukaryota; Fungi; Glomeromycota; Glomeromycetes; Glomerales; Glomeraceae.